AUACGGAGGGUGCAAGCGUUACUCGGAAUCACUGGGCGUAAAGCGCGCGCAGGCGGCUUGAUAAGUUGGAUGUGAAAGCCUACGGCUCAACCGUAGAACUGCAUCCAAAACUAUUAGACUAGAGUGUGGGAGAGGAAGAUGGAAUUAGUUGUGUAGGGGUAAAAUCCGUAGAGAUAACUAGGAAUACCAAAAGCGAAGGCAAUCUUCUGGAACACUACUGACGCUGAGGCGCGAAAGCGUGGGGAGCAAACAGGAUUAGAAACCCUUGUAGUCC
RNAcentral lists this ribosomal RNA (274 nucleotides) under uncultured bacterium. RNAcentral describes it as "partial 16S ribosomal RNA". It matches the Rfam family "Bacterial small subunit ribosomal RNA", at positions 523 to 796 of the family's 1533-position model. The record is from RNAcentral.